Molecule: ribosomal RNA, 853 nt
Filed under: Cudoniella indica
Lineage: Eukaryota; Fungi; Ascomycota; Leotiomycetes; Helotiales; Helotiaceae
Description: eukaryotic LSU rRNA
Rfam family: Eukaryotic large subunit ribosomal RNA
Source: RNAcentral
GGGAUUACCUCAGUAACGGCGAGUGAAGCGGUAACAGCUCAAAUUUGAAAUCUGGCUCUUUCAGGGUCCGAGUUGUAAUUUGUAGACGAUGCUUUGAGUGUGGUGCCGGUCUAAGUUCCUUGGAACAGGACGUCAUAGAGGGUGAGAAUCCCGUAUGUGAUCGGUCGCCUUCGCUCGUGUAAAGCUCGUUCGACGAGUCGAGUUGUUUGGGAAUGCAGCUCAAAAUGGGUGGUAAAUUUCAUCUAAAGCUAAAUAUUGGCCAGAGACCGAUAGCGCACAAGUAGAGUGAUCGAAAGAUGAAAAGCACUUUGGAAAGAGAGUUAAACAGUACGUGAAAUUGUUGAAAGGGAAGCGCUUGCAACCAGACUUGGGCUGUCGCAAUCAUCCGGGGCUCGCCCCGGUGCACUUGUGGCGGCACAGGCCAGCAUCAGUUUCGGUGGUGGGAUAAAGGCCUUGGGAAUGUAGCUUCUUUCGGGGAGUGUUAUAGCCCUCGGUGCAAUGCCGCCUACCGGGACUGAGGAACGCGCUUCGGCGAGGAUGCUGGCGUAAUGGUUGUAAGCGACCCGUCUUGAAACACGGACCAAGGAGUCUAACAUCUAUGCGAGUGUUUGGGUGUCAAACCCAUACGCGUAAUGAAAGUGAACGGAGGUGAGAACCCGUUAGGGUGCAUCAUCGACCGAUCCUGAUGUCUUCGGAUGGAUUUGAGUAAGAGCAUAGCUGUUGGGACCCGAAAGAUGGUGAACUAUGCCUAAAUAGGGUGAAGCCAGAGGAAACUCUGGUGGAGCUCGCAGCGGUUCUGACGUGCAAAUCGAUCGUCAAAUUUGGGUAUAGGGGCGAAAGACUAAUCGAACCA